GUUAAUUUAAAUACCAUGCAUGCAAACAUCAAUAUUCAUUCCAUAUGUUUGUCAAAUAACAUCAUGCUUUCUGUGUUAUCUCUUAUCAUGCGAUUAUUUUCAUCAUGUUUACUUAUUUACUUAUUAGAACAAUACAAAUCAUAAAAUAUCAUGGAAUAUUUACAUAAGUAUAUUUAAACCAUAACAAUAAUUAAACAUGUAACAAGCAAUCUCAUAUUCAUGCAAUAUUCCUUUUAUCACUCUAGAAAUACUGCUUAAAACGUGCAAAUAAAUACCAAAUUUUCUUACCAAAGCUUGAAGUUUUCUACACUCCUCUUCCUUCUAUUUUUUCCUUUUUUUCUCUCUCUAUCUCUCUCUCUUUCACUCUCUCUUUAGAAUUACUUUGGUGAAUGGAAAAAUGAAGAUGAUGUGAUGAAGGAGUGGUGGGGAGGGUCCCUAUUUAUAAAAAAAAGGGAUUGUUGGAUUUCUGCUAAGUGGUGCAAAUCCGUGAGGAGAGAGGGAGGAAAAAAAGUGACCGACGUGAUGCAAUGACUAACAAACAUGACUGACAAACAGUCGACAAGAUGACAGUGAUGCGAUGGUGGCACGAAAACUAAAGGCACAUUGGCCGAGGGACAACACACGCCUCCCAAACAAUUACGGCACACGCCCCCCAAAGGUACAGCACACACUGCCCUAUCACAUGCACAGGCUUGUUGCACACUGGCAGUGUUUGCCGUGCGCGC
RNAcentral lists this long non-coding RNA (725 nucleotides) under Carica papaya (papaya). RNAcentral's name for it is "long non-coding RNA (CPAP_LNC003446)". The record is from RNAcentral. Lineage: Eukaryota; Viridiplantae; Streptophyta; Magnoliopsida; Brassicales; Caricaceae.